RNAcentral lists this ribosomal RNA (108 nucleotides) under Jaculus jaculus (lesser Egyptian jerboa). Lineage: Eukaryota; Metazoa; Chordata; Mammalia; Rodentia; Dipodidae. The record is from RNAcentral.
AUCUAUGGCCUUACCACCCUGAAUACACUGAUCCUGUCUGAUCUUGGAAGCUAAACAGGGUCAGGCUUGGUUAGUACUUGGAUGGGAGAUAACCAUCUGUUGCUGACU